CCCCAGACUCCUACGGGAGGCAGCAGUGAGGAAUAUUGGUCAAUGGUCGGGAGACUGAACCAGCCAAGCCGCGUGAGGGAUGAAGGUACAGAGUAUCGUAAACCUCUUUUGUCAGGGAACAAAGGCGGGGACGUGUCCCCGGAUGAGUGUACCUGAAGAAAAAGCAUCGGCUAACUCCGUGCCAGCAGCCGCGGUAAUACGGAGGAUGCGAGCGUUAUCCGGAUUUAUUGGGUUUAAAGGGUGCGCAGGCGGCGGUUUACGUCGGGGGUACAUUUUCGGGGCUCAACCCCGGCGAGCCGUUGAAACUGGCUUGCUAGAGUGGGCGAGAAGUAUGCGGAAUGCGUGGUGUAGCGGUGAAAUGCAUAGAUAUCACGCAGAACUCCGAUUGCGAAGGCAGCAUACCGGCGCCCAACUGACGCUCAGGCACGAAAGCGUGGGUAUCGAACAGGAUUAGAUACCCCUGUAAA
Molecule: ribosomal RNA, 467 nt
Filed under: uncultured bacterium
Lineage: Bacteria
Description: bacterial SSU rRNA
Rfam family: Bacterial small subunit ribosomal RNA
Source: RNAcentral